AGAGUUUGAUCCUGGCUCAGAUUGAACGCUGGCGGCAGGCCUAACACAUGCAAGUCGAACGGUAACAGGAAGAAGCUUGCUUCUUUGCUGACGAGUGGCGGACGGGUGAGUAAUGUCUGGGAAACUGCCUGAUGGAGGGGGAUAACUACUGGAAACGGUAGCUAAUACCGCAUAACGUCGCAAGACCAAAGAGGGGGACCCUCGGGCCUCUUGCCAUCGGAUGUGCCCAGAUGGGAUUAGCUUGUUGGUGGGGUAACGGCUCACCAAGGCGACGAUCCCUAGCUGGUCUGAGAGGAUGACCAGCCACACUGGAACUGAGACACGGUCCAGACUCCUACGGGAGGCAGCAGUGGGGAAUAUUGCACAAUGGGCGCAAGCCUGAUGCAGCCAUGCCGCGUGUAUGAAGAAGGCCUUCGGGUUGUAAAGUACUUUCAGCGGGGAGGAAGGGAGUAAAGUUAAUACCUUUGCUCAUUGACGUUACCCGCAGAAGAAGCACCGGCUAACUCCGUGCCAGCAGCCGCGGUAAUACGGAGGGUGCAAGCGUUAAUCGGAAUUACUGGGCGUAAAGCGCACGCAGGCGGUUUGUUAAGUCAGAUGUGAAAUCCCCGGGCUCAACCUGGGAACUGCAUCUGAUACUGGCAAGCUUGAGUCUCGUAGAGGGGGGUAGAAUUCCAGGUGUAGCGGUGAAAUGCGUAG
Molecule: ribosomal RNA, 696 nt
Filed under: uncultured bacterium
Lineage: Bacteria
Description: bacterial SSU rRNA
Rfam family: Bacterial small subunit ribosomal RNA
Source: RNAcentral